UAACCACUCAAGCCUGGCUUGGUAUUGGGGUUUUCGCGUGUUCGCGGCCCUUAAAAUCAGUGGCGGUGCCGUCUGGCUCUAAGCGUAGUAAUUUCUCUCGCUAUAGGGUUCCGGUGGUUACUUGCCAAAACCCCCAUUUUUUCUA
RNAcentral lists this unclassified non-coding RNA (145 nucleotides) under uncultured Helotiaceae. Its description in RNAcentral is "sequence contains ITS2". RNAcentral also lists the same sequence under 1 other name. Lineage: Eukaryota; Fungi; Ascomycota; Leotiomycetes; Helotiales; Helotiaceae. The record is from RNAcentral.